GAGGAAUAUUGGACAAUGGGUGAGAGCCUGAUCCAGCCAUCCCGCGUGAAGGACGACGGCCCUAUGGGUUGUAAACUUCUUUUGUAUAGGGAUAAACCUACCCUCGUGAGGGUAGCUGAAGGUACUAUACGAAUAAGCACCGGCUAACUCCGUGCCAGCAGCCGCGGUAAUACGGAGGGUGCAAGCGUUAUCCGGAUUUAUUGGGUUUAAAGGGUCCGUAGGCGGAUCUGUAAGUCAGUGGUGAAAUCCGAUAGCUUAACUAUCGAACUGCCAUUGAUACUGCAGGUCUUGAGUAAAGUAGAAGUGGCUGGAAUAAGUAGUGUAGCGGUGAAAUGCAUAGAUAUUACUUAGAACACCAAUUGCGAAGGCAGGUCACUAUGUUUUAACUGACGCUGAUGGACGAAAGCGUGGGGAGCGAAC
This 420-nucleotide ribosomal RNA is filed under the name uncultured bacterium. RNAcentral's name for it is "bacterial SSU rRNA". It matches the Rfam family "Bacterial small subunit ribosomal RNA", at positions 356 to 773 of the family's 1533-position model. The record is from RNAcentral.